UACAGAGGUCCCAAGCGUUGUUCGGAUUCACUGGGCGUAAAGGGUGCGUAGGUGGCCGGGUAAGUCUGAUGUGAAAUCUCUGGGCUCAACCCAGAAAUGGCAUUGGAAACUAUCCGGCUAGAGGAGUGGAGGGGGAACUGGAAUACUUGGUGUAGCAGUGAAAUGCGUAGAUAUCUGGAGGAACACCGGUGGCGAAGGCGGCAUCCUGGACCGAGAUCGACGCUGAGGCGCGAAAGCUAGGGGAGCAAACGGG
Molecule: ribosomal RNA, 253 nt
Filed under: uncultured bacterium
Lineage: Bacteria
Description: partial 16S ribosomal RNA
Rfam family: Bacterial small subunit ribosomal RNA
Source: RNAcentral